GUGCCAGCAGCCGCGGUAAGACGAGGGGUCCAAGCGUUGUUCGGAAUUAUUGGGCGUAAAGCGGGUGUAGGUGGCUCUAUAAGUCAGGAGUGAAAUCCCCGAGCUUAACUUGGGAAGUGCUUUUGAUACUGCAGAGCUUGAAUGUGGGAGAGGAUAAUAGAAUUCCAGGUGUAGUGGUGAAAUACGUAGAUAUCUGGAGGAAUACCGGUGGCGAAGGCGGUUAUCUGGCCCAACAUUGACACUGAGACCCGAAAGCGUGGGGAUCAAACAGGAUUAGAUACCCCCGUAGUCC
Molecule: ribosomal RNA, 292 nt
Filed under: uncultured bacterium
Lineage: Bacteria
Description: partial 16S ribosomal RNA
Rfam family: Bacterial small subunit ribosomal RNA
Source: RNAcentral